AAAGGUAAGCCGGAGAGGGUGACAGCCCCGUACGAGUAGAAAAGCUGACUGUUCUUGAGUAAGGCGGAGCACGAGAAAUUCUGUCUGAAAAUGGGGAGACCACUCUCCAAGGCUAAGUACUACUGAUUGACCGAUAGUGAACAAGUACCGUGAGGGAAAGGUGAAAAGCACCCCUAUAAGGGGAGUGAAAGAGAACCUGAAACCGGAUGCCUACAAGCAGUCGGAGGGUCUAUAAGGCCUGACGGCGUACCUUUUGUAUAAUGGGUCAGCGACUUAAUUUAUGUAGCAAGCUUAAGCCGAUAGGUGUAGGCGUAGAGAAAUCGAGUGUUAACAGCGCGUUAAGUUACAUGAAUUAGACCCGAAACCGAGUGAUCUAGCCAUGAUCAGGUUGAAGGUUGGGUAACACCAACUGGAGGACCGAACCCACUCCCGUUGAAAAGGUAGGGGAUGAAUUGUGGCUAGGGGUGAAAGGCCAAUCAAACUCGGAAAUAGCUGGUUCUCCGCGAAAACUAUUUAGGUAGUGCGGUGAGCGGACACCUUGAGGGGUAGAGCACUGGAAGAGCUAAGGGGGAGCGAUCCUUACUAAACUUUACCAAACUCCGAAUACUCAAGAGUGAUACUCACCAGACAGACAUUAGGUGCUAAGGUCUAGUGUCGAGAGGGAAAGAGCCCAGACCGCCAAUUAAGGUCCCAAAAUUAUGGCUAAGUGGUAAAGGAAGUGAAACGUCCAAAACAGUCAGGAGGUUGGCUUAGAAGCAGCCAUCCUUUAAAGAAAGCGUAAUAGCUCACUGAUCUAAACAAGACGUCUUGCGCCGAAGAUGUAACGGGGCUAAAGCCAUAUACCGAAGUUGCGGAUUUACACGUUAAAGUGUAAGUGGUAGCGGAGCGUUCUGUAAGCCUGCGAAGGUGUACCGUAAGGUAUGCUGGAGGUAUCAGAAGUGAGAAUGCUGACAUGAGUAGCGAAAAGAAGAGUGAGAGACUCUUCCGCUGAAAGUCCAAGGUUUCCUGCGUAAAGCUAAUCUGCGCAGGGUUAGUCGGUCCCUAAGGCGAGGCAGAGAUGCGUAGUCGAUGGCAAUCAGGUUAAUAUUCCUGAACCGGCCCGGAAGUGACGGAUUGAGUAAAUUGUAAGUUCUUAUUGGAUUGAGCUUGCAGUGAAUCAGUCCCAGGAAAUAGCCCGGGCUAAGACCGUACCCGAAACCGACACAGGUGGACAGGUAGAGAAUACCAAAGCGCUUGAGAGAACUAUGUUGAAGGAACUAGGCAAAAUACUUGCGUAACUUCGGGAUAAGCAAGCCCCAUUUUAAGGCAACUUAGGGUGGGGGGCACAUACUAGGGGGUAGCGACUGUUUACUAAAAACACAGGGCUCUGCUAAAUUGAAAGAUGAAGUAUAGGGUCUGACGCCUGCCCGGUGCUGGAAGGUUAAGGAGAGAUGUGCAAGCAUUGAACUGAAGCCCCAGUAAACGGCGGCCGUAACUAUAACGGUCCUAAGGUAGCGAAAUUCCUUGUCGGGUAAGUUCCGACCUGCACGAAUGGCGUAACGACUUCCCCGCUGUCUCCAACAUAGGCUCAGCGAAAUUGAACUCUGAGUUAAGAUGCUCAGUACCCGCGGUUAGACGGAAAGACCCCGUGAACCUUUACUAUAGCUUUGCAGUGGUAUUAGGUAACAAAUGUGUAGAAUAGGUGGGAUGCUAUGAAGCUACGACGCCAGUUGUAGUGGAGCAGACUUUGAAAUACCACCCUUUUGUUGUUUGAUAUCUAACCUGCUCCCGUUAUCCGGGAGAGGGACCCUGCAUGGUGGGUAGUUUGACUGGGGCGGUCGCCUCCCAAAGAGUAACGGAGGCGCGCAAAGGUUGGCUCAGAUUGGUCAGAAAUCAAUCGUCGAGUGCAAUGGCAUAAGCCAGCCUGACUGCGAGAGAGACAUUUCGAGCAGAUACGAAAGUAGGUCAUAGUGAUCCGGUGGUCCCGAGUGGAAGGGCCAUCGCUCAACGGAUAAAAGGUACUCCGGGGA
Molecule: ribosomal RNA, 2009 nt
Filed under: human gut metagenome
Description: bacterial LSU rRNA
Rfam family: Bacterial large subunit ribosomal RNA
Source: RNAcentral